GAGUUUGAUCCUGGCUCAGGAUGAACGCUGGCGGCGUGCUUAAUACAUGCAAGUCGAACGAAGGUUAUUGAGCUUGCUUAAUAACCUUAGUGGCGAACGGGUGAGUAAUACAUAAGCAACCUGCCCAUUAGACUGGGAUAACAGUUGGAAACGACUGCUAAUACCGGAUAGGUAAGACCAAGGCAUCUUGGAGUUAUUAAAGUUUAGAUACACUAAUGGAUGGGCUUAUGGCGCAUUAGCUAGUUGGUGAGGUAACGGCCCACCAAGGCGAUGAUGCGUAGCCGACCUGAGAGGGUGACCGGCCACAUUGGGACUGAGACACGGCCCAAACUCCUACGGGAGGCAGCAGUAAGGAAUUUUCGGCAAUGGGCGCAAGCCUGACCGAGCAACGCCGCGUGAACGAAGACGGCCCUAUGGGUUGUAAACUGCUUUUGCGCGGGAAGAAUAACCCCCUCGUGAGGGGGGAUGCCGGUACCGCGCGAAUAAGGAUCGGCUAACUCCGUGCCAGCAGCCGCGGUAA
This 520-nucleotide ribosomal RNA is filed under the name uncultured Bacillota bacterium. RNAcentral describes it as "bacterial SSU rRNA". It matches the Rfam family "Bacterial small subunit ribosomal RNA", at positions 9 to 523 of the family's 1533-position model. The record is from RNAcentral. Lineage: Bacteria; Bacillati; Bacillota.